Molecule: transfer RNA, 73 nt
Filed under: Paramuricea clavata
Lineage: Eukaryota; Metazoa; Cnidaria; Anthozoa; Malacalcyonacea; Plexauridae
Rfam family: tRNA
About the family: Transfer RNA (tRNA) molecules are approximately 80 nucleotides in length. Their secondary structure includes four short double-helical elements and three loops (D, anti-codon, and T loops).
Source: Rfam by way of RNAcentral
GAGCGCGUAGCUCAGUUGGAAGAGCAUUGGGCUAGUAUUCCAAAGGUCGUAGGUUCGAAUCCCACCGUGGCCG